Molecule: non-coding RNA, 46 nt
Filed under: Schistosoma mansoni
Lineage: Eukaryota; Metazoa; Platyhelminthes; Trematoda; Strigeidida; Schistosomatidae
Also listed under: 1 other name
Source: RNAcentral
GCACUGCUGAGGAGUCCCACAAUAGGACGAAACGGCCGUUCACUGC